CCUUCUGUUACAAAUAAACGUGAUACUUUCUUUGGGUUAUUUAAAGGAACAUUACUCAUGAG
RNAcentral lists this non-coding RNA (62 nucleotides) under Plasmodium falciparum 3D7. Lineage: Eukaryota; Apicomplexa; Aconoidasida; Haemosporida; Plasmodiidae. The record is from RNAcentral.